CUCUUUAUCACAUACCUAUGUGGCUCACCAAUAUGAUUCAAUGACAUUAUUAACAAACCAUUUUUCUCUUCACUUAAAAUUUCUUUUUAUUCAACUUUCAGAAUCUUAACUUCCAGUUGAACUCCAAUGUCAAGUUCCACUCUUCAAGAGCAGUCAUCGAACUUUUUCUGCAUCAACUUUGGAACAUCAUUUCUCACCGCAGGUUCUGACUACUGUUCUUGCCAAGAAGAGUGGAUUGAGUACCGAUGCAACUGCUACUUCUUUUCUACUGAAGAAAAUUCUUGGAAAUAA
Molecule: long non-coding RNA, 291 nt
Filed under: Dasypus novemcinctus (nine-banded armadillo)
Lineage: Eukaryota; Metazoa; Chordata; Mammalia; Cingulata; Dasypodidae
Description: lncRNA (ENSDNOG00000052905.1)
Source: RNAcentral